RNAcentral lists this ribosomal RNA (1039 nucleotides) under Cronobacter sakazakii. RNAcentral describes it as "bacterial LSU rRNA". It matches the Rfam family "Bacterial large subunit ribosomal RNA", at positions 1892 to 2925 of the family's 2925-position model. Lineage: Bacteria; Pseudomonadati; Pseudomonadota; Gammaproteobacteria; Enterobacterales; Enterobacteriaceae. The record is from RNAcentral.
AUCGCAAGAGAAGCUCCUGAUCGAAGCCCCGGUAAACGGCGGCCGUAACUAUAACGGUCCUAAGGUAGCGAAAUUCCUUGUCGGGUAAGUUCCGACCUGCACGAAUGGCGUAAUGAUGGCCAGGCUGUCUCCACCCGAGACUCAGUGAAAUUGAACUCGCUGUGAAGAUGCAGUGUACCCGCGGCAAGACGGAAAGACCCCGUGAACCUUUACUACAGCUUGACACUGAACAUUGAGCCUUGAUGUGUAGGAUAGGUGGGAGGCUUUGAAGCGUGGACGCCAGUCUGCGUGGAGCCGACCUUGAAAUACCACCCUUUAAUGUUUGAUGUUCUAACCUGGCGCCGUGAUCCGGCGUGGGGACAGUGUCUGGUGGGUAGUUUGACUGGGGCGGUCUCCUCCCAAAGUGUAACGGAGGAGCACGAAGGUCAGCUAAUCCUGGUCGGACAUCAGGAGGUUAGUGCAAUGGCAUAAGCUGGCUUGACUGCGAGAGUGACGGCUCGAGCAGGUGCGAAAGCAGGUCAUAGUGAUCCGGUGGUUCUGUAUGGAAGGGCCAUCGCUCAACGGAUAAAAGGUACUCCGGGGAUAACAGGCUGAUACCGCCCAAGAGUUCAUAUCGACGGCGGUGUUUGGCACCUCGAUGUCGGCUCAUCACAUCCUGGGGCUGAAGUAGGUCCCAAGGGUAUGGCUGUUCGCCAUUUAAAGUGGUACGCGAGCUGGGUUUAGAACGUCGUGAGACAGUUCGGUCCCUAUCUGCCGUGGGCGCUGGAGAAUUGAGGGGGGCUGCUCCCAGUACGAGAGGACCGGAGUGGACGCAUCACUGGUGUUCGGGUUGUCAUGCCAAUGGCACUGCCCGGUAGCUAAAUGCGGAAGAGAUAAGUGCUGAAAGCAUCUAAGCACGAAACUUGCCCCGAGAUGAGUUCUCCCUGAGACUGUAAGUCUCCUGAAGGAACGUUGAAGACGACGACGUUGAUAGGCCGGGUGUGUAAGCGCAGCGAUGCGUUGAGCUAACCGGUACUAAUGAACCGUGAGGCUUAACCUU